Molecule: ribosomal RNA, 497 nt
Filed under: uncultured bacterium
Lineage: Bacteria
Description: partial 16S ribosomal RNA
Rfam family: Bacterial small subunit ribosomal RNA
Source: RNAcentral
GAUGAACGCUGGCGGCGUGCCUAAUACAUGCAAGUCGAGCGAACGGACGAGAAGCUUGCUUCUCUGAUGUUAGCGGCGGACGGGUGAGUAACAUGUGGAUAGCCUACCUAUAAGACUGGGAUAACUUCGGGAAACCGUAGCUAAUACCGGAUAAUAUUUUGAACCGCAUGGUUCAAAAGUGAAAGACGGUCUUGCUGUCACUUAUAGAUGGAUCCGCGCUGCAUUAGCUAGUUGGUAAGGUAACGGCUUACCAAGGCAACGAUGCAUAGCCGACCUGAGAGGGUGAUCGGCCACACUGGAACUGAGACACGGUCCAGACUCCUACGGGAGGCAGCAGUAGGGAAUCUUCCGCAAUGGGCGAAAGCCUGACGGAGCAACGCCGCGUGAGUGAUGAAGGUCUUCGGAUCGUAAAACUCUGUUAUUAGGGAAGAACAUAUGUGUAAGUAACUGUGCACAUCUUGACGGUACCUAAUCAGAAAGCCACGGCUAACUACGUG